CUACCAUGCAGUCGACGAUGAGCCGCUUCGGUGGUGGAUUAGUGGCGAACGGGUGAGUAACACGUGGGCAAUCUGCCCUGCACUCUGGGACAAGCCCUGGAAACGGGGUCUAAUACCGGAUAUGACACACGGAGGCAUCUCCUGUGUGUGGAAAGCUCCGGCGGUGCAGGAUGGGCCCGCGGCCUAUCAGCUUGUUGGUGGGGUAAUGGCCUACCAAGGCGACGACGGGUAGCCGGCCUGAGAGGGCGACCGGCCACACUGGGACUGAGACACGGCCCAGACUCCUACGGGAGGCAGCAGUGGGGAAUAUUGCACAAUGGGCGCAAGCCUGAUGCAGCGACGCCGCGUGAGGGAUGACGGCCUUCGGGUUGUAAACCUCUUUCAGCAGGGAAGAAGCGCAAGUGACGGUACCUGCAGAAGAAGCACCGGCUAACUACGUGCCAGCAGCCGCGGUAAUACGUAGGGUGCGAGCGUUGUCCGGAAUUAUUGGGCGUAAAGAGCUCGUAGGCGGCUUGUCACGUCGGAUGUGAAAGCCCGGGGCUUAACCCCGGGUCUGCAUUCGAUACGGGCAGGCUAGAGUUCGGUAGGGGAGAUCGGAAUUCCUGGUGUAGCGGUGAAAUGCGCAGAUAUCAGGAGGAACACCGGUGGCGAAGGCGGAUCUCUGGGCCGAUACUGACGCUGANGAGCGAAAGCGUGGGGAGCGAACAGGAUUAGAUACCCUGGUAGUCCACGCCGUAAACGUUGGGAACUAGGUG
RNAcentral lists this ribosomal RNA (755 nucleotides) under Streptomyces chumphonensis. RNAcentral describes it as "bacterial SSU rRNA". It matches the Rfam family "Bacterial small subunit ribosomal RNA", at positions 49 to 822 of the family's 1533-position model. Lineage: Bacteria; Bacillati; Actinomycetota; Actinomycetes; Kitasatosporales; Streptomycetaceae. The record is from RNAcentral.